GGUUACUUGGGUUCAUGCUUGAAUGACUGAAUUGAACUUUUGUACCCUGGAGAAUUGUGACUGUUUUGUUUCAGAUGUAAUUCUGAAUCAUGUGCAUUAAUUACUUGCUUUGUUUUGUGGAAAUAAUACUGAAACACAGCAUAAUUUGUAUGAAUAUAAUUUGCUCGUGGCUGUGUCUGGAAAGUCUUGUAAACUGACAAACUUCACAAAGAAAGCAGUGAAUUUUGACAGAGUGCUACUGUCUUAAAUGAAUUAUUAUAUGCAUUCAACUACAGAUGGGGUAAAGGUUCAUUUUUUAAUUAAACAGUGGAUGGAAAUACAAGCUACUACAUUGUAGUGGUCAGCUUUAAAUUUUUUCCAGACUAGCAGGCAAAUUCUAUGCAUGGUUUUCCUUCUUUGGUGGGAACAAUUCGAGUUCCAGAAAAGAUGCAUAUCCUUUUAUUUCCUUUGCUUCAAUUAUUUCAAUAUUUUUGAAGCCGUAAUGACUCAUGAUUUAGAAUUAUGGGUAAAUACCAAGAGGAACUCAUUUUUAUCAUCCUAAAAGCUUUGGCCCUUUCAAUAAAAGCAAAAUGAUUUGGAGUGAUGAUGAUUUUCAGUGUCUCAUUUCACUAUAAAUGGCUGUGUUAUUAUCGUUACAGCUAAAUUUAAUUGUUGUAACCAUUGAUUCAGAAUCGUUGCCAAAACAGUGUGGACCUGAUCCAAAGAACAUUAAUCCAGUUUAAAGUAAUGAAGCGAGUUAGCUAUCCAUAUUAUGGUAGCAUUUAGGAGAGUCUACUACAAUGUCUCACAGUUGGACCUGCUUCAAAGACUGUUAAGAAAUUGCAGAUAGUUAAGUACAUCUACUAGGUUGAGGCAGUGAACACAGUAUACAUUUAAAGCCCAUUUCCCCCUAAGAAUCCUGGAAACUUUAGUUUGUUUAGGAUGCUGAGAUAAACUGUAGUUCUCGGGUUUCGGGGGAAUGUGUUUUAAAUGUGCACCAAAUGUAUGGUGGGUACACAGCUUGGGCCUGGUGUAUUUUAAAGACACUGCAAAAACAGCACUGCCUUCUGGUCUUUUUCCAAGCACAAUUCAAAGUGCUGGUGUUAAAUUGCAUUAAAAGGUUAGAACCAAGAUAUAGUGGUACCUGGGGUUAAGAACUUCAUUCGUUCUGUAGGUCCGUUCUUAACCUGAAACUGUUCUUAACCUGAUGUACCACUUUAGCUAAUGGGGCCUGCCUCUGCACCGCCGCCGCACGAUUUCUGUUCUCAUUCUGAAGCAAAGUUCUUAACCUGAGGUACUGUUUCUGGGUUGGCGGAGUCUGUAACCUGAAGCGUCUGUAACCCGAGGUACCACUGUACUUGAAUGAAUGCUUGUUCCCAUACCAGCCUGCCUGCAUACUGAGGUCGUCUUUAGAGUCUCUCCUCAGGUUGCGACUAGCUGUGUGUGCCAAAGGGACCUUUGGAUAGGGUUCCCGUAUACCAAAUUGCAAAGUAGUUUUGAAACUGAAAGAAGUUUCGAAACAUCUUGUGAUAUGGGGGUCUCUUGUUGAAAGAACAACAUUUGAAAAUCCCACUGGGUACCCGCUAGGUCUUGUACUCACCUAAAGUAGCUUUUUGGAUUCCAGCCAGUUCUUGAAAAUAAGUCUCUUAUUUCAGUAGAACUCUGCAUUCAAGUCUGCAUGUGCUUAGGCUGUGGCCUAAAUGGGCCUUUGACCUUGCAUUUUUCCAACGAAAUAUGCACUUGGUGACACAUCAUUUUGAUACCACUCCAUUUCUCUCUCUCUCUCUCUCUCUCUCUAAAAAAGCUGAUAUAAUUUAUGAGCUACACUCUCAUUAAAUAAGAAUUGAAUGUAUGAUAUCUUUAUAGUUGGCAGUAGGUUUCAGAUCUGGCUGCAUAACACAGUGAAUAUUGAAUAUCGUCUUUGGAGAUACGUAAAGCUGUAUAUGAGAUGCAGACAGGCAGCAACAAUCUUAGGAAUGUAAGCUAAUAAGUAAGGUCUGAAUUCAACAGAGAUAAUGUAACAAUAAAUGCAGCACUAGGAAUUGAUGCUGUAGAAACAAAAUCAUUUGGACAUAGAUUCAGAUUCAGAUUUGUUAUUUUUAACUAGAGCUGUGCUGAAGAUUUCAAACCUCCCCCCCCCCAAACAUUCAUUGAUUGGAUGGGUAAAAAAAACAAGGAAGAUUGAUGGAGAGUGGAGGCAAAGAAGAAAUUUCACCAAAAUCUUUAGGAGGGGAUUGUUACUGUUUUCAUUUUUCUCCAUGGUGGUUGUUUUUUUAAGCACUCUGUGCCACUUGUGGCUGUAUGGUGUGUUGCGAAAAAUUAAUCCCUCUCUGCUCAAGUUCCAUUCUGGAUUAUGCUACCUUUUAGAUUUAACAAUACAAGUGCAAACUAGGCAUUUAGCAUAAUGCGUGGUUUGGUUCUGUGUUUGGGAUAUCCGGAUGUAAACCUGUUUUGAAUGGUAUGCCCAGUCUACCUUUUUUUGUGUACGAAUUUCCCCUUAUAAGUUGGCCUUUAGCAUAUAUAUUUUCUGUGGAAUGCUAAGGGAAUGUUUAGAAUUUUCUGUGCCCUGAAGAGGCCAUUCAGAUUGCAGGAGAUUCCAUUGUUUAAUAGAGUAUUCCCUCUUGCAUUUAAAAUCAUAGACUAUAAAAUACAUAAAUGCCACAACUAGAGGAGCAGCAUAGUUUUUUUCUACAACAUUUAUUAACAUGACGCAGACCAUGCAGGUUCUGGCAGUCUAGAAAGGAGAACUGUAUUGUUUCCUUCUUGCCACCAUCAUUAAUUUUGACAGAUCUGAGUAGUUUGCAUUUUUGCACUCGCAUGUUUUGAUUAACCUUUCCCCCCCCAUCUUUGCUUCGGAGGUCUUGCUCAGCAAAAGUGAGCUUAUAAGACACUUUGUGUAAUGUGAGAAGAAGGCCAUUGAUGCAAUUGGAUUCAUUUAGAAUUUACAAUGGUCUAACACAAUAUAUUUCAGUAUUAAUAUAAUGUAUAGAUUUUUCUUUUCUUUGCAGCUUUUGCUGGUCUCUCAAGUUACCAAAGUCACUGCCUAUCUGUAAGCACUUCAUGCAGAACUAGAAUACUAAGCACACUAUUUUACGGGUUUGUUUCUAGGAAUAGUCAGUGGUUGGACAUUUUGGCAAGCUGAAUUGUUAUUUACGUUUGUAUCCCAUGUUUCCUCAAAGGAAGUCAAAGUAGUGUACAUGGUUCUCCCCCUCAGGAGUAGACUUUGGUCAUUCAAAUUUCAGCAGUGCCCUGUGUGAGCCCAACAUUUGGCAUCCCCCCAACCUCUCUCCUUUCAUUCUGUUCAGUUCACGGCAUCAUCAACGAAAAGAAAAGAACUCACACUGAAACUCACCUACAGGUGGUACCUAACACCAAGGAAACUAGCGCUAAUACACCCAGGAACCUCACCAAAAUGCACCUCCACAGGCACAUACCUCCACAUGUGGUGGGAGUGUCCCAAAAUCCAACUAUUCUGGACAACAGCCAUACAAGAAAUAUGUAAAAUAACUAAGCAAGUAAUAGACAUCACCCCAGAAUUGGCCCUACUAAACAUCUUCCAAGACAACAAUGCCCAUUUACACCACAAAGAACUCAUAACCCACCUGCUCUCAGCAGCCAGAAACACCAUAACCAGACACUGGAGAGACCUGUCAGGAGUAAGCAUGGACCAAUGGUACCAAAUAGUAUGGGAAACAGCCCUACUAGAAAAAUUAACUAAUAAACUGAAACUGACACGGGGACAAACAGAAGAAGAUGCCUUCACCCGGUAUGGCUCCCAUUUAUCACAUACACAGCCCAACAGGACAAUGACAAUAAUCCACCAACAGCAUACAAAUCAAUAUGGCUAACCUGAUCCAAAACACCCACCCACCUCACUCACACACGAAAACAAAGAUCACCACAGCCAAUCACAAGCAAACAAUCACACCCUAGGCCAACCCCAACCUCUCUCACCACCAAAGGAACACAAGUGAACAACACAAGCAACGCUGACACCAAACUCUACAUACAUUAAACAUAAUAGAAACACCGCCACCCGACCCCACCCCAUCCAUCUUCCCACACGCCACCCCCCCUUUGCAUUUUUCAAUUUUUUUUUCUUCUUCUCCCCCUAAUGCCUCAACAAAUGAAACGGAUUUGUAAAAAUGUUACAUGGGGAAAAAAAUACGAGGCACUACACUUCUG
This is a non-coding RNA of Podarcis lilfordi (Lilford's wall lizard), 4164 nucleotides long. Lineage: Eukaryota; Metazoa; Chordata; Lepidosauria; Squamata; Lacertidae. The record is from the annotation of a GenBank genome assembly.